UACGUAGGUCCCGAGCGUUGUCCGGAUUUAUUGGGCGUAAAGCGAGCGCAGGCGGUUUGAUAAGUCUGAAGUUAAAGGCUGUGGCUCAACCAUAGUUCGCUUUGGAAACUGUCAAACUUGAGUGCAGAAGGGGAGAGUGGAAUUCCAUGUGUAGCGGUGAAAUGCGUAGAUAUAUGGAGGAACACCGGUGGCGAAAGCGGCUCUCUGGCCUGUAACUGACGCUGAGGCUCGAAAGCGUGGGGAGCGAACAGG
Molecule: ribosomal RNA, 252 nt
Filed under: Streptococcus salivarius
Lineage: Bacteria; Bacillati; Bacillota; Bacilli; Lactobacillales; Streptococcaceae
Description: partial 16S ribosomal RNA
Rfam family: Bacterial small subunit ribosomal RNA
Source: RNAcentral